AACGCACAUUGCGCCUCUAGUAACUUGGAGGCAUGCCUGUCUGAGCGUCAUUUAAAACCAUAAACCCCACCGGGUUUGUAUUGGGCCAUCGCCCUUGGGCGUGACCUCAAAGUCAUCGGUCUUAAACGCGGACGAGUUCCAUUAGGACAGACCGUGUCUGGACUUUAAACUUCUGACUUGACCUCAGAUCAGGUAGGACUACCGCCUGAACUUAA
RNAcentral lists this unclassified non-coding RNA (215 nucleotides) under Lecania sp. Its description in RNAcentral is "partial contains 5.8S ribosomal RNA, internal transcribed spacer 2, and large subunit ribosomal RNA". Lineage: Eukaryota; Fungi; Ascomycota; Lecanoromycetes; Lecanorales; Ramalinaceae. The record is from RNAcentral.